Long non-coding RNA from Erinaceus europaeus (western European hedgehog), 758 nucleotides. RefSeq lists it as uncharacterized. Lineage: Eukaryota; Metazoa; Chordata; Mammalia; Eulipotyphla; Erinaceidae. The transcript has 4 exons. The record is from RefSeq and is a predicted model, not a curated record.
GUGACAUCAGAUGAGGUGGGGGACCCACUGGGGGGAGCUGCACAGAGUGGGGAAGAUGGCAGCUGAUGCUGGGAUGGUUGGAAUUGUUCUCUUGACCUCUUUGUGGAAACAUCUAGAAGGCAGCAGCAAUGACAAAGUCACUUUAAAUGCCCAGCCCAGCGCACAGAACCUGCCUACGAGAUGGCUUGGAAAGAAUCCACCAAGCCUGCGUGAGGAGGGAAGUACAGUCACACCCUGAUCUACUCAGCAGAAUGAAAGGAAUGGAUAUGGAGAUAGAGACAAAGAGGGAGAAACAGAGAGACAGACACCACAGCAAGGCUCUGCCAUCUCUGGAGCUUCCACCAGUGAUACUCCCACGAGUUGCUACCUCUCCCAUUCCAGGAAGCUGAGCUCCUUGCUCCCCACUUUCUGGCCCUGCCUGGCUGACUCGGAUGCAGAGCAGCUGACCAACACUUGCCAAGGUGGCUGAACUUAGUGCCAAGAUGAGGUGGCAGUCACUCCCGAUGGCAUGUGACACCAACCACGAACCCUGUGACCUAAGCAACAAGAAUGGUGUCCAGGAAGGAUAGCCAGCUCUUGGUCCAAGAAAGACACUUCCAUGCCACCUCCAUCACGUGGAGAAAGAUUCACGAUGAUGAAAACCUCCCCAUGGCUCGAGCCAUCAGCGUGGAAGGAGGAGAUGAGGGCAGGCACUUGGGGACCUCCGUGUGCCCUUUCAUUCUCUUCAUCAUGAUAAAUAAAGAGAGUCCUUUCCCUCU